CAGUCGCCGCGGUAAUACGUAGGGUGCGAGCGUUAAUCGGAAUUACUGGGCGUAAAGCGUGCGCAGGCGGUUGUGUAAGACAGGCGUGAAAUCCCCGGGCUCAACCUGGGAAUGGCGCUUGUGACUGCACGGCUGGAGUGCGGCAGAGGGGGAUGGAAUUCCGCGUGUAGCAGUGAAAUGCGUAGAUAUGCGGAGGAACACCGAUGGCGAAGGCAAUCCCCUGGGCCUGCACUGACGCUCAUGCACGAAAGCGUGGGGAGCAAACAGGAUUAGAUACCCCCGUAGUCCCUGUCUCUUAUAC
This 301-nucleotide ribosomal RNA is filed under the name uncultured bacterium. Its description in RNAcentral is "partial 16S ribosomal RNA". It matches the Rfam family "Bacterial small subunit ribosomal RNA", at positions 509 to 807 of the family's 1533-position model. The record is from RNAcentral.